This 490-nucleotide ribosomal RNA is filed under the name uncultured bacterium. RNAcentral's name for it is "partial 16S ribosomal RNA". It matches the Rfam family "Bacterial small subunit ribosomal RNA", at positions 28 to 507 of the family's 1533-position model. The record is from RNAcentral.
GAUGAACGCUAGCUGCAUGCCUAACACAUGCAAGUCGAGGGGAAGGACGAGGGUUUCUCGCCAUCGCCGUUGGCGACGGGCGCACGGGUGAGUAGUGCGUAACCAACCUACCAUACUCGGCGAACUAAGGGGACCCGGGGCUAACAACGGCCAAUAUAUUGCACUGCACGGCUCCAGAGUGAAAGACGAGUUUUCUGGGAGUUGGAGAGGGAUGCGUCCGAUUUGCUGGACGGCGGGGUGUCAGCGCACCGUGACGACGCUCGGUAGGGGUUCCGAGAGGAAGGUCCCCCACACUGGAACUGAGACACGGUCCAGACACCUACGGGAGGCAGCAGUGAGGAAUAUUGGUGAGUGAGCGUAAGCCUGAACCAGGCAAGUAGCGUGCAGGAUGACGGCCCUAUGGGUUGUAAACUGCUUUUAUGCGGGGAUAAAGUGGACUACGUGUGGGUUUUUGCAGGUACCGCAUGAAUAAGGCCCGGCUAAUUCCGUG